Molecule: ribosomal RNA, 500 nt
Filed under: uncultured Glomus
Lineage: Eukaryota; Fungi; Glomeromycota; Glomeromycetes; Glomerales; Glomeraceae
Description: SSU rRNA
Rfam family: Eukaryotic small subunit ribosomal RNA
Source: RNAcentral
CCCAUAGCGUAUAUUAAAGUUGUUGCAGUUAAAAAGCUCGUAGUUGAAUUUCGGGGUUAGUAGGUUGGUCAUGCCUCUGGUAUGUACUGGUCUCACUGAUUCCUCCUUCCUGAUGAGCCGUAAUGCCAUUAAUUUGGUGUUGCGGGGAAUUUGGACUGUUACUUUGAAAAAAUUAGAGUGUUUAAAGCAAGCUAACGCUUGAAUACAUUAGCAUGGAAUAAUGAAAUAGGACGUUCGAUCCUAUUUUGUUGGUUUCUAGGAUUGACGUAAUGAUUAAUAGGGAUAGUUGGGGGCAUUAGUAUUCAAUUGUCAGAGGUGAAAUUCUUGGAUUUAUUGAAGACUAACUACUGCGAAAGCAUUUGCCAAGGAUGUUUUCAUUAAUCAAGAACGAAAGUUAGGGGAUCGAAGACGAUCAGAUACCGUCGUAGUCUUAACCAUAAACUAUGCCGACUAGGGAUCGGAUGAUGUUAAUUUUUUAAUGACUCAUUCGGCGCCUUACG